UGAAUAAUUAGAUAUGGAGGGAGAAGAAAAAGGAAACAUACUGAUGAACUUGUUUUUCUGUCCUGGCAAACUGGAUUAUGGGAGCACCUUUGAACAGGAUGGAGGGGAGCCAUGUUUGGAGAAGAGCAAAUCAGAGAUUUGAAGCAUGAGAAGGAUUUGAUGCACUGUUGCUGGCUUGAAGAUAGAAGGAGCCACAUAUUAAGGAAUAUGA
This 211-nucleotide long non-coding RNA is filed under the name Homo sapiens (human). Its description in RNAcentral is "HSALNT0116431". Lineage: Eukaryota; Metazoa; Chordata; Mammalia; Primates; Hominidae. The record is from RNAcentral.